CGAAAUCGCUAGACGCUGCGGACUUAAAAUCCGUUGACUUUGAAAAUCGUGAGGGUUCAAGUCCCUCUAUCCCC
This 74-nucleotide transfer RNA is filed under the name Azorella trisecta. RNAcentral's name for it is "Azorella atacamensis partial tRNA-Leu". It matches the Rfam family "tRNA", at positions 11 to 70 of the family's 71-position model. Rfam says of the family: Transfer RNA (tRNA) molecules are approximately 80 nucleotides in length. Lineage: Eukaryota; Viridiplantae; Streptophyta; Magnoliopsida; Apiales; Apiaceae. The record is from RNAcentral.